RNAcentral lists this ribosomal RNA (500 nucleotides) under uncultured bacterium. RNAcentral describes it as "partial 16S ribosomal RNA". It matches the Rfam family "Bacterial small subunit ribosomal RNA", at positions 30 to 523 of the family's 1533-position model. The record is from RNAcentral.
AUUGAACGCUGGCGGCAGGCUUAACACAUGCAAGUCGAGCGGAGCGAGGGUGCUUGCACCUUAGCUUAGCGGCGGACGGGUGAGUAAUGCUUAGGAAUCUGCCUAUUAGUGGGGGACAACAUUCCGAAAGGAAUGCUAAUACCGCAUACGAUCUAUGGAUGAAAGCGGGGGACCGUAAGGCCUCGCGCGAUUGGAGCGGCCGAUGUCAGAUUAGGUAGUUAGUGGGGUAAAGGCCUACCAAGCCGACGAUCUGUAGCUGGUCUGAGAGGACGACCAGCCACACUGGGACUGAGACACGGCCCAGACUCCUACGGGAGGCAGCAGUGGGGAAUUUUGGACAAUGGGGGCAACCCUGAUCCAGCCAUGCCGCGUGAGUGAAGAAGGCCUUCGGGUUGUAAAGCUCUUUCGGCCGGGAAGAAAUCGUGGUCUCUAAUAUAGGCCAUGGAUGACGGUACCGGACUAAGAAGCACCGGCUAACUACGUGCCAGCCGCCGCAGUAA